Molecule: non-coding RNA, 26 nt
Filed under: Rattus norvegicus (Norway rat)
Lineage: Eukaryota; Metazoa; Chordata; Mammalia; Rodentia; Muridae
Source: RNAcentral
UAAGUUCAGCCCAUGGAGGAAAAGAA